CCUACGGGUGACAGCAGUGAGGAAUAUUGGUCAAUGGACGGAAGACUGAACCAGCCAAGCCGCGUGAGGGAUGAAGGUACUGAGUAUUGUAAACCUCUUUUGUCAGGGGACAAACUCUGGCACGUGUGCCCGUUUGCGUGUACCUGAUGAAAAAGCAUCGGCUAACUCCGUGCCAGCAGCCGCGGUAAUACGGAGGGUGCGAGCGUUAUCCGGAUUUAUUGGGUUUAAAGGGUGCGCGGGCGGUCUGUUAAGUCAGCGGUAAAAGCCCGGGGCUCAACCCCGGCCCGCCGUUGAAACUGGCAGUCUGGAGUUGGGGAGAGGUAUGCGGAAUGCGCGGUGUAGCGGUGAAAUGCAUAGAUAUCGCGCAGAACUCCGAUUGCGAAGGCAGCAUGCCGG
RNAcentral lists this ribosomal RNA (396 nucleotides) under uncultured bacterium. RNAcentral describes it as "partial 16S ribosomal RNA". It matches the Rfam family "Bacterial small subunit ribosomal RNA", at positions 338 to 732 of the family's 1533-position model. The record is from RNAcentral.